Molecule: non-coding RNA, 71 nt
Organism: Melanomma pulvis-pyrius CBS 109.77
Lineage: Eukaryota; Fungi; Ascomycota; Dothideomycetes; Pleosporales; Melanommataceae
Source: the annotation of a GenBank genome assembly
GCAUCUAUGGUCUAGCGGUAGGAUAUAUGCUUCCCAAGCAUAUGGCUCGGGUUCGACUCCCGGUGGAUGCA